This 348-nucleotide long non-coding RNA is filed under the name Setaria viridis. RNAcentral describes it as "long non-coding RNA (SVIR_LNC004522)". Lineage: Eukaryota; Viridiplantae; Streptophyta; Magnoliopsida; Poales; Poaceae. The record is from RNAcentral.
UAUGCACUCUGACCUAGUGCACGUUACAUGAAAAACCAACUUUUCUAACAGGAUGCGGAGGUCGAAAUGCAAAAAGGCUAUGGAGGUCGCAGAGGCCGAAUCCAAGGAAUUGUAUGGCUAUUAUUUUGCCAUUUUCAUGGCCUCGAUCAUGGCUUACGAAGCACUACCCUCAAAGUGCACAAAGAAAUGGAAGAAAAGAAAAGGCGUUAUGAGCAAACAAAGGCAAUAAAUUAAUCAUACUUCAACAGAAGAGAUAUACGCCAAGCAGCCAGUAUCAAGAACCAAGUUAUAACUACCCAAACAUUACUACUUCGCAUCAACCUCUGCAUUUCUCUGAUAUAAUCCUAC